RNAcentral lists this ribosomal RNA (253 nucleotides) under uncultured bacterium. RNAcentral's name for it is "partial 16S ribosomal RNA". It matches the Rfam family "Bacterial small subunit ribosomal RNA", at positions 524 to 776 of the family's 1533-position model. The record is from RNAcentral.
UACGUAGGGCGCAAGCGUUGUCCGGAAUUAUUGGGCGUAAAGAGCUCGUAGGCGGCUUGUCACGUCGAUUGUGAAAGCCCGAGGCUUAACCUCGGGUCUGCAGUCGAUACGGGCUAGCUAGAGUGUGGUAGGGGAGAUCGGAAUUCCUGGUGUAGCGGCGAAAUGCGCAGAUAUCAGGAGGAACACCGGUGGCGAAGGCGGAUCUCUGGGCCAUUACUGACGCUGAGGAGCGAAAGCGUGGGGAGCGAACAGG